Molecule: ribosomal RNA, 753 nt
Filed under: uncultured bacterium
Lineage: Bacteria
Description: bacterial SSU rRNA
Rfam family: Bacterial small subunit ribosomal RNA
Source: RNAcentral
CUUUUAUUGAAACCUAGUGAUAUAAAAGUUAGUGGCGGACGGGUGAGUAACGCGUGAAUAACCUGCCUUAUACUGGGGGACAACAGUUGGAAACGACUGCUAAUACCGCAUAAGCGCACAGCUCCGCAUGGAGCAGUGUGGAAAACUCCGGUGGUGUAAGAUGGAUUCGCGUCUGAUUAGUUAGUUGGCGAGGUAACGGCUCACCAAGACGACGAUCAGUAGCCGGCCUGAGAGGGUGAACGGCCACAUUGGGACUGAGACACGGCCCAAACUCCUACGGGAGGCAGCAGUGGGGAAUAUUGCACAAUGGGGGAAACCCUGAUGCAGCGACGCCGCGUGAGUGAAGAAGUAUUUCGGUAUGUAAAGCUCUAUCAGCAGGGAAGAAAAUGACGGUACCUGACUAAGAAGCCCCGGCUAACUACGUGCCAGCAGCCGCGGUAAUACGCAGGGGGCAAGCGUUAUCCGGAUUUACUGGGUGUAAAGGGAGCGUAGACGGCGGUGCAAGUCUGAUGUGAAAGCCCGGGGCUCAACCCUGGAACUGCAUUGGAAACUGUACUGCUAGAGUGCAGGAGAGGUAAGCGGAAUUCCUAGUGUAGCGGUGAAAUGCGUAGAUAUUAGGAGGAACACCAGUGGCGAAGGCGGCUUACUGGACUGUAACUGACGUUGAGGCUCGAAAGCGUGGGGAGCAAACAGGAUUAGAUACCCUGGUAGUCCACGCCGUAAACGAUGAUUACUAGGUGUCGGGGGUCCAAG